Molecule: long non-coding RNA, 736 nt
Filed under: Vulpes vulpes (red fox)
Lineage: Eukaryota; Metazoa; Chordata; Mammalia; Carnivora; Canidae
Description: lncRNA (ENSVVUG00000028811.1)
Source: RNAcentral
UGCACAUAGAAUGAGUAUGAAGAAAGUUUAACAAAAUAUAGGAAAGGGAAAUACAACUUAAACAUGGGAGUAUGAUGAAGUUUCCUGGAAGAAGCUGAUAUUGAGGCUUAAAGAGUACACAACAAUGAGCAAAUCUCUUCUAAUGCUUAAGGAAAACAAAAUAAAACACCCUAAAGAGAGUGGGAGGUACUAUUUAGGAAACCUUUCCCUCUUGAGAGAAAUAGGUGAUGGGGUCACACUAAAGAGAACCUUCCAUUUCUGGCUACAGCAUUAUGACUUCAGAUGAGGGUCACUGGGCACUAGGGAACCAUUCUUAGGUCCUGAACAGGUAAGAGCCAAACUACAUGCUAUGCUCUUCAGAGGAUAAUCUGACAGUUACAGUCUGGUGGGAUUACAGAAGAGUGGUAUUGAAGAUAUCAAGAAAAUACUUUUAUUAUAAAGGUUCAUGUUUGAAGGAGAGACAGAAUGGUGCUAGUGUUCCAGAUUUAGUAACUAUAAUUCUUGAUUUCUACUGGCAUCAUGUACAAUCACAUUUAAAAAUAAAAAGGAAAUGGAUAUAAACAAAUAAUGGCUUGAAAAUAUUCCGUUAUUGCUAGAAAAAUGCAACGUAAUUUUCGGUGGAACAUUAUUUUUAAAAGAUCCCCAAAUGUAGAAUGGGACACAGCUCAUUACCCUUUUUAGAAAUUAUUUUUAGAAAGAUGUUAUUUGAAUUAUUUCUGUGAAACUUUGUAACGCC